Molecule: ribosomal RNA, 250 nt
Filed under: uncultured prokaryote
Description: partial 16S ribosomal RNA
Rfam family: Bacterial small subunit ribosomal RNA
Source: RNAcentral
UACGGAAGGUCCGGGCGUUAUCCGGAUUUAUUGGGUUUAAAGGGAGCGCAGGCGGAAGGAUAAGCGUGACGUGAAAUAUGGCGGCUCAACCGUCGGACUGCGUCGCGAACUGUUUUUCUUGAGUGGGUUCGACGUAGGCGGAAUUCGUGGUGUAGCGGUGAAAUGCUUAGAUAUCACGAAGAACCCCGAUUGCGAAGGCAGCCUACGAGGCCUUUACUGACGCUAAUGCUCGAAGGUGCGGGUAUCGAAC